This 288-nucleotide ribosomal RNA is filed under the name uncultured bacterium. RNAcentral describes it as "partial 16S ribosomal RNA". It matches the Rfam family "Bacterial small subunit ribosomal RNA", at positions 773 to 1060 of the family's 1533-position model. The record is from RNAcentral.
GUGGAUUAGAUACCCUAGUAGUCCACGCCGUAAACGAUGUCGACUUGGAGGUUGUGCCCUUGAGGCGUGGCUUCCGGAGCUAACGCGUUAAGUCGACCGCCUGGGGAGUACGGCCGCAAGGUUAAAACUCAAAUGAAUUGACGGGGGCCCGCACAAGCGGUGGAGCAUGUGGUUUAAUUCGAUGCAACGCGAAGAACCUUACCUGGUCUUGACAUCCAGAGAAUCCUGCAGAGAUGCGGGAGUGCCUUCGGGAACUCUGAGACAGGUGCUGCACGGCGGUCGACAGCU